Molecule: long non-coding RNA, 245 nt
Organism: Brassica oleracea var. oleracea
Lineage: Eukaryota; Viridiplantae; Streptophyta; Magnoliopsida; Brassicales; Brassicaceae
Exons: 2
Source: RefSeq, a predicted model, not a curated record
UCUAACUUAUCUCUCAGAUUACAGAUUUCAUAUUUUUUUCUUUCAGAGAUUAUCAAGAUCUCUUUAUUUCCAGCAGAUCUAAUCUUGAUUAUUGAGGUUCUCUUAGUCAGAAGAGAUGGAAAGCUCUACCUCGCCGCUGCCGAGCUCUAGCCCUGCCGUCUCCAUAUCCUCUCUGUCUCCGUCAAUAUCCACACCACCACACUACUACGGAUCGAUUCACGCAUGAGAGGCUGGAGAAUAAAAUG